Molecule: long non-coding RNA, 290 nt
Organism: Oncorhynchus tshawytscha (Chinook salmon)
Lineage: Eukaryota; Metazoa; Chordata; Actinopteri; Salmoniformes; Salmonidae
Exons: 2
Source: RefSeq, a predicted model, not a curated record
GGCAAAGGGGUAGAAAAUAGUAAAAAUAAAGAAAAAUCCUUGAAUGAGUAGGUGUGUUCACACUGUAGACUGGUACUGUAUGUCAGAAAGGCCUGAUUGGUGGAGUGCUGCAGAGAUGGUUGUCUCUGUUUUACUCUACUCCUCUCAUCCUUGAAUGAGUAGGUGUGUUCACACUUUAGACUGGUACUGUAUGUCAGGACAAUGUUUCUCAUCCCACAACAAAUGUGACGUUACAAUUGCACUAAACAGUUGCACUUCGACUUAAAUAAAAUGGAAAAACUAAAUUGAAA